AUUCUGGAGAGUUGGGGGAAGAGGUAGAGUAUUGGGGAGAAGAGGGAGAGUAUUCUGGAGAGUUAGGAGAAAGAGAGUACUGGGGAGAAGGAGGGGAAGAGGGAUAGUGAGAAAAAGGUGGGGAAGAGGGAUAGAAGUGUGGAGAGUUUGGGAAAGAGGGAGAGUAUUGGGGAGAAGAGGGAAAGUAUUCUGGAGAGUUGGGGGAAGAGGGAGAGUAUUGGGGAGAAGAGGGAGAGUAUUCUAGAGAGUUAGGAGAAAGAGAGUACUGGGGGAAGGAGGGGAAGAGGGGGAGUAAUAUGGACAGUUUGGGGAAGGAGGGGAAGAGGGAGAGUAAUGUGCAGAGUUUGGGGAAGAGGGAGUGUAGUGUGGAGAGUUUUGGUAAGAUGGGAUUUCAGAGGACUUCCUUUUUCUUUGUUUCUGCCUUCUUAUUUGUCUCUGCCCAGUAGAUCUCAUUUCCUUCCUUUUUCUCGAGUUUGGUCUCUCUAGAAAAUCUCCCAUCUCAUUUUCUUUUCUCACAAUCUG
Molecule: long non-coding RNA, 522 nt
Filed under: Amborella trichopoda
Lineage: Eukaryota; Viridiplantae; Streptophyta; Magnoliopsida; Amborellales; Amborellaceae
Description: long non-coding RNA (ATRI_LNC003755)
Source: RNAcentral